This 386-nucleotide long non-coding RNA is filed under the name Carica papaya (papaya). RNAcentral's name for it is "long non-coding RNA (CPAP_LNC010957)". The record is from RNAcentral. Lineage: Eukaryota; Viridiplantae; Streptophyta; Magnoliopsida; Brassicales; Caricaceae.
AAUCGAAGAAAGGAUAUAGAAUUCGAGGUAGACAACCGUGUUUUUCUUAACAUCACUUCUCUCAAGGUUAUCACCAAAUUUAGGAAGAGAGGAAAACUAAACCCUCGAUUCAUUGGCCCGUUUAAGGCUUUGAAAAGAAUUUGAGCAACUGUCAUCUAAGCUAUCUAGGGUUCACAAUGUGUCCCAUGUGUUGAUGUUAUACAAGUACAACCCUGAUCCAUUAUAUGAUUUUCUCUAGACGCCUCUUCCACUUUAGAAUGAUUUGACUUAUGAAGAGCACCGGUAAAAAUUUUGGACCAGAAAGAAAAAGUUCUUCGAAAGAAGGUGAUUCCCCUAUUUAAAGUUAUGUGGCGGAACCACUCUCGAGCAUAAGCUAAUUAGUGGAU